Molecule: ribosomal RNA, 468 nt
Filed under: uncultured bacterium
Lineage: Bacteria
Description: partial 16S ribosomal RNA
Rfam family: Bacterial small subunit ribosomal RNA
Source: RNAcentral
GAUGAACGCUGGCGGCGUGCUUAACACAUGCAAGUCGAACGGUGAAGGCGGAGCUUGCUCUGCUGGAUCAGUGGCGAACGGGUGAGUAACACGUGAGCAAUCUGCCCCUGACUCUGGGAUAAGCGCUGGAAACGGCGUCUAAUACUGGAUACGAGCUGCGAAGGCAUCUUCAGCAGCUGGAAAGAAUUUCGGUCAGGGAUGAGCUCGCGGCCUAUCAGCUUGUUGGUGAGGUAAUGGCUCACCAAGGCGUCGACGGGUAGCCGGCCUGAGAGGGUGACCGGCCACACUGGGACUGAGACACGGCCCAGACUCCUACGGGAGGCAGCAGUGGGGAAUAUUGCACAAUGGGCGAAAGCCUGAUGCAGCAACGCUGCGUGAGGGACGACGGCCUUCGGGUUGUAAACCUCUUUUAGCAGGGAAGAAGCGAAAGUGACGGUACCUGCAGAAAAAGCGCCGGCUAACUACGUG